Molecule: long non-coding RNA, 1227 nt
Organism: Octopus bimaculoides (California two-spot octopus)
Lineage: Eukaryota; Metazoa; Mollusca; Cephalopoda; Octopoda; Octopodidae
Source: RefSeq, a predicted model, not a curated record
UUUAUCCACCCAUCUCACCACAACGAACAGUGUGGUGGACAGAUAGUGAUGUAAGAUGGGAAACAAGCAGAAAAUAUGUUCUCCCUCCAAAGGUAGCGAAAUGUAGCGAAACAUACCGGAACAAAAGCAGUACCAACUACAUCAACAACAGCAACACUAACCGCCAGCACCAGCUACAAACCGAAUACCAACAUCAACGAGCUAAAAAAUAAUAAUAAAAAAAGCUCUCCCACAGUUUAACGUGUCAAUGGAGGGAGGGAGUGAGAUGAUAGACGCCAUAUUGUUGCAGAAGUUUCAGCUCGUGAGGUGCGGCCAUGCUGGGGCACCUUCGUUAGUUGACACAUCCUGCUGUAUGUAGAAUUUGGUGAACGAAGGAAUUUGAUGUCGUUGCCCUCCUACUGCGAGGUGGGCGUCGAAAGGAGAAGAUACAGUUUUGUUUUGAAGACACCUACAUCCACCCCAUCUUCUAACGCUGGAGAUGUACUACGGUGUCAGAUGUUUACUACCAGUGAACUAACGCAACACCCCUUAUUUUUCGAGCACCUUCUGGAGUAUUUGAGCGGUUCCAAGCAAUGCUGUUUUCUGCAAGUGCUCCACCCUUAUUGCAUCUCCUAUUUAUUCCACGUACUUCUCGAGAUUUUUGCUCACUGUUCCAGGGGCUUCAACAAUUACUGGUACUACUAACACCUUUUUCAUCGACCACAACUGCUUAACCUCCCCAAAAAUAUGUCAAAGAAAUCAGAAUUGACAUGAGAGCAGAGCAAACCCCCAAAACUGCUCUGCUGGGGACAGCUAGGAUUUUGAGAUUGGUACUUGGAUGUUGAAUGUCUCCCAUGAUGAUUAAUGACCAAGUAUCAAGGCUUAUAAUGUGCGGAAAGUGACCCUGUGAGACCUUUGACAGUAGGCUGCAGUCUACUCUCACAGAAUUUACCAGAACAAACAUAUCCGAGUGCUCUGAGAAGUAAAACAACAAUACUAGUAAUAAAUAAUCAGAAUAACGGAUGAUGAUGAUGAUGAUUGUUAAAAAAAGAAGAAGAAUGAGGCAUCAUUUAUGUCUAGAGACAUGCUUCCAAUAAUUCUUGAAACUUGACCAAAAAACUUUUUAUUUUAACAAUAUACUUUAAAAUUAUUCUUUAAAAUAUUCCUUACAUUUUAUAGAAUCUUCUCCGACACUUCUUCUUCUUCUUCUUCUUCUUCUUCUUCUUCUUCUUCUUCUUCUUCUUCUUC